UACGUAGGUGGCAAGCGUUGUCCGGAAUUAUUGGGCGUAAAGCGCGCGCAGGCGGCCUUUUAAGUCUGAUGUGAAAGCCCACGGCUCAACCGUGGAAGGUCAUUGGAAACUGAAAGGCUUGAGUACAGAAGAGGAAAGCGGAAUUCCACGUGUAGCGGUGAAAAUGCGUAGAGAUGUGGAGGAACACCAGUGGCGAAGGCGGCUUUCUGGUCUGUAACUGACGCUGAGGCGCGAAAGCGUGGGGAGCAAACAGG
RNAcentral lists this ribosomal RNA (254 nucleotides) under uncultured bacterium. Its description in RNAcentral is "partial 16S ribosomal RNA". It matches the Rfam family "Bacterial small subunit ribosomal RNA", at positions 524 to 776 of the family's 1533-position model. The record is from RNAcentral.